This is a non-coding RNA of Paramuricea clavata, 900 nucleotides long. NCBI's taxonomy places the organism in Eukaryota, Metazoa, Cnidaria, Anthozoa, Malacalcyonacea, Plexauridae. The record is from the annotation of a GenBank genome assembly.
CCAGGAAGACAAAGGGGCUCUAUUAAACACCCUUGUCCUAUUAAGGAGACCCUAUUUACACAAAACACGUCUUGAUUAGAAUAAAUUAUAUCAUUUAUAGGAUUUAUCUGGCUUAAAAGCCAACUUCGAGGAAACUAGAAACCAGGCAUAAGCAAAUGUAUUCAAAUUUAUUGCAACUCCACAUUUCGACCCACGAAUUUUCUUGAAAACAUUGAAUAGACCCUCCCCCCACACCUCUAGUCAUCUAUUUAUACCCAUGGCCCCACCUUAUUUUUGCCCCCCUCCCUCUUCCAUAAAUAAUUACCGGUCCCUAACUCCAAGAAAAAUAUGCGCACUUCGCAGAACAUUUAUAACAAUUUAUAAUUGAUUACCUUUUCCUCAGACUGGGUAACCACAACAGAAGUUGCCAAUAGGCUCUUUCAAGGUUAACCACUUCAGCCCUGAUGCACUCUACUUUAUUACUUUACUCUGUCUAAUGCCAGACGAUUUUACUCGUCAAAGGGAGAGCACUGGCGCUUAAUGGGUUAAGGACGCUAACUUCAAUAUAUUGUUUUGACCAUUGCCUUUACACCCCAGGCAAAUUUACCUAUAGGGAAUUCCAUUGUGUUUGUACCCUUUGCACUAUUGUGUUUCAUUAUGGCGUCUAGAUCUUGAAAGGGUCCAUUAUUGCGGCCCCAACAUUUCCCAGUUAAAAACACAAUACAUUGAUCGUGAAAUUACCGAAAUACUGCAUGUUUACAAGCCUGACACCUACCGGCGAAGUAUUUCUGUCUUGUUACGCUACACCAUGUUCUUUUAACCGCCUAUUGACCGCCUAACUUCAAUAUAGUAACAAUCAAUUGUUUGCUAACAAUCCGCGAAAAGCCGAAACCUAUAAUCGCUGGCGGCACAGGUCCCCCA